AUGUACGACGGGUACACACCGGCUCCUGCGCGCCGUCCGCACCCACCUGACGACUGCUCGCUACGGUUUUAGCC
This 74-nucleotide small RNA is filed under the name Xanthomonas vasicola. Its description in RNAcentral is "sX9 sRNA". It matches the Rfam family "Xanthomonas sRNA sX9". RNAcentral also lists the same sequence under 14 other names. The record is from RNAcentral. Lineage: Bacteria; Pseudomonadati; Pseudomonadota; Gammaproteobacteria; Lysobacterales; Lysobacteraceae.